CUACGGGAGGCAGCAGUGGGGAAUAUUGGACAAUGGGCGAAAGCCUGAUCCAGCCAUGCCGCGUGUGUGAAGAAGGUCUUCGGAUUGUAAAGCACUUUAAGUUGGGAGGAAGGGCAGUAAGUUAAUACCUUGCUGUUUUGACGUUACCAACAGAAUAAGCACCGGCUAACUUCGUGCCAGCAGCCGCGGUAAUACGAAGGGUGCAAGCGUUAAUCGGAAUUACUGGGCGUAAAGCGCGCGUAGGUGGUUUUGUAAGUUGGAGGUGAAAUCCCCGGGCUCAACCUGGGAACUGCCUCCAAAACUGCAUGACUAGAGUACGGUAGAGGGUAGUGGAAUUUCCUGUGUAGCGGUGAAAUGCGUAGAUAUAGGAAGGAACACCAGUGGCGAAGGCGACUACCUGGACUGAUACUGACACUGAGGUGCGAAAGCGUGGGGAGCAAACAGGAUUAGAUACCCCAGUAGUCC
RNAcentral lists this ribosomal RNA (465 nucleotides) under uncultured bacterium. Its description in RNAcentral is "bacterial SSU rRNA". It matches the Rfam family "Bacterial small subunit ribosomal RNA", at positions 339 to 796 of the family's 1533-position model. The record is from RNAcentral.